UGGAAGUGUCUGCCUGUGGGCCAAGUAUCACAGGCUAAUUGGUCAAAUCCAUAAUUCCUCUUUUGGGAUUGAGAGAACAGACUGUGAGACUCUUCCAGGGUAAAAGGAGAAAGUAGAUGAGACUAGACACGGACGUGAGAGCAAAGCAGGAACGAUAAGGCAGAGAGAUGUAACUAAAGUUAUAUAAUCAAGAGCACGACUGCACAAAGGCAUCACAGCCUAGUGACUGUUUGUGAUCAUUUAAUAUUCAUCGCCUUAGUUAAGUUCUGGUCAUUGGUUAUGAUUUGUAGUGUUUAGCUGUUUCUGUUACCUCCUGUCAUCUCUACGUUCUUGUAUUUCCUGUUUUACUUUGACAGUCUGUAUUCUGUUGUUCUUCCUGCUGGCCUCCUCAUGUCUGAUUAGUCCCACCUGUUCCUCUCAUUGUGCUGCUUGAGUAUAUCUAGUGUGAGUUUCCCUCUGCUCCUGUCACUGAUCAUCCUCUGUGUUUCAUCUGCAUGUCUCCUGUUCAUUGUCCCCUGAGUAUCUCCCCCUGCGUUUCUUUUCCCGUGUUUCAGGUUUUUCUUGUUUAGUUUGUCCUGUUUAUGUUUUGUUCAUUUCCUUCCUGCCUUGUUUAGAUUCACAUUCAGCCAAAUAAAGGCUCACCUUUGGUUAAACAUUCACCUCAGCCCUGUGUGUCUGCAUUUGGGUCCGCUCUCUCUCCCCAUGGUCUGCCAGCUCAGACCGUGAUCGAAGGCAUCUGCAGAGGAUAGUGACACAUGCACAGAGAGACACAGCAUGAAUCCUGAUUGGCCGGGAGAAGGUGACCGGGUUAGAUAGCUUGACAGCUUGGAUUUAUCUGGCAUGUGUUUGAAUCCUGCUCUGAAUCAGUCUCAUUAGGUAAUGGCCUUCAAGUUACACACUAUGAAAGGCAGCAACAAGUUUAAUGUUCAGAAACCUAAAGUCUGUAUCAGCAGCAGGAUGGAGCUAAAAUAAAUGUUGGUUUCAGUUCUAUGAAGCUUUGAGUAUUUUGGAUCAGUAGCUGCUGUGUUUGUUGCAUCAUAUUGCUGUAACUGUUUAUAU
This is a long non-coding RNA of Astatotilapia calliptera (eastern happy), 1059 nucleotides long. NCBI's taxonomy places the organism in Eukaryota, Metazoa, Chordata, Actinopteri, Cichliformes, Cichlidae. The record is from Ensembl.